This 113-nucleotide non-coding RNA is filed under the name Lentilactobacillus diolivorans. RNAcentral describes it as "Lactobacillus diolivorans THF-I sequence". It matches the Rfam family "THF (Tetrahydrofolate) riboswitch aptamer". From Rfam's summary of the family: THF riboswitch presents a pseudoknot that joins P1-P2 and the loop of P3 and two THF binding. Lineage: Bacteria; Bacillati; Bacillota; Bacilli; Lactobacillales; Lactobacillaceae. The record is from RNAcentral.
UAUGGAGUAGGAUUCAACGCGUUAAGUGUCGAAGGAACGGAAUGUGAACUUCGAACGAAAAGUAAUGAUGCGACUUAUUAAUUACUUGCGGUGUUGUUUCCGCAUUCGCCAAU